CGGUGGCUCUUCUGUCUCUCAGGGGUUGUAGCUCAGUCUUAAAGCUAGAGUGAAGAUACAGGUAUUUUAUGAAACUACAAAGCCUAAGGAACCGAUUGGUACCAACCAUGUCAUGUUAGCUUGUUGGGAAGAAUGCUAAAUAACGCUCC
This is a long non-coding RNA of Sebastes umbrosus (honeycomb rockfish), 149 nucleotides long. RefSeq lists it as uncharacterized. Lineage: Eukaryota; Metazoa; Chordata; Actinopteri; Perciformes; Sebastidae. The record is from RefSeq and is a predicted model, not a curated record. The transcript has 2 exons.